RNAcentral lists this ribosomal RNA (261 nucleotides) under uncultured archaeon. Its description in RNAcentral is "partial 16S ribosomal RNA". It matches the Rfam family "Archaeal small subunit ribosomal RNA", at positions 748 to 1009 of the family's 1478-position model. The record is from RNAcentral.
UAGCCGUAAACGAUACUCGCUAGGUGUCGGCCACGGUGCGACCGUUGUCGGUGCCGUAGGGAAGCCGUGAAGCGAGCCACCUGGGAAGUACGGCCGCAAGGCUGAAACUUAAAGGAAUUGGCGGGGGAGCACCGCAACGGGAGGAGCGUGCGGUUCAAUUGGAUUCAACGCCGGACAACUCACCAGGAGCGACGGUUACAUGAAGGCCAGGCUGAUGACCUUGCCUGAUUUUCCGAGAGGUGGUGCAUGGCGUAGUCGUGU